CAUUCUAGAUCGCUUAAUUCCUGUGUUUUGGAAGCGGAGGAUCCACUAAGGCCGAUAUUCGGCUAGGGGUGAAAUCUUGUUUUCUGCAAGAUGGGGCUACUCUCAUGGUCCUAAUCCGACAGCUAACUUCGCAAGCGUGUUAAGAGAGGAUGA
Molecule: small RNA, 153 nt
Filed under: Jeotgalibacillus soli
Lineage: Bacteria; Bacillati; Bacillota; Bacilli; Caryophanales; Caryophanaceae
Description: c-di-AMP sequence
Rfam family: c-di-AMP riboswitch aptamer (ydaO/yuaA leader)
About the family: This family represents a conserved RNA structure found upstream of the ydaO and yuaA genes in Bacillus subtilis and related genes in other bacteria. The ydaO/yuaA element is thought to act as a genetic "off" switch for the ydaO and yuaA genes in its native state.
Source: Rfam by way of RNAcentral